GAGGAGCCUGCGGCGGAUUAGCUAGUUGGUAGGGUAACGGCUUACCAAGGCGACGAUCCGUAACCGGCCUGAGAGGGCGGUCGGUCACACUGACACUGACAUACGGGUCAGACUCCUACGGGAGGCAGCAGUCGGGAAUUUUGGGCAAUGGGCGAAAGCCUGACCCAGCAACGCCGCGUGAAGGAUGAAAUCCCUCGGGAUGUAAACUUCGCAAGAAUGGGAAGAAUGAGCGAGCGCUAAUACCGUUCGUGAUGACGGUACCAUUUGUAAGCUCCGGCUAACUCCGUGCCAGCAGCCGCGGUAAUACGGGGGGAGCAGGCGUUGUUCGGAUUUACUGGGCGUAAAGGGCGCGUAGGCGGCCAGCGCAAGUCAGUUGUGAAAUCUCCGGGCUUAACUCGGAAAGGUCAACUGAUACUGCGCGGCUAGAGUGCGGAAGGGGCAACUGGAAUUCUCGGUGUAGCGGUGAAAUGCGUAGAUAUCGAGAGG
This 486-nucleotide ribosomal RNA is filed under the name uncultured Acidobacteriota bacterium. RNAcentral describes it as "bacterial SSU rRNA". It matches the Rfam family "Bacterial small subunit ribosomal RNA", at positions 224 to 704 of the family's 1533-position model. Lineage: Bacteria; Pseudomonadati; Acidobacteriota. The record is from RNAcentral.